RNAcentral lists this transfer RNA (72 nucleotides) under Haemaphysalis longicornis (longhorned tick). It matches the Rfam family "tRNA". Rfam says of the family: Transfer RNA (tRNA) molecules are approximately 80 nucleotides in length. The record is from Rfam by way of RNAcentral. Lineage: Eukaryota; Metazoa; Arthropoda; Arachnida; Ixodida; Ixodidae.
CCGCCGGUAGCGUAGUGGUUAUCGCACCAGACUGGUAUUCUGGAGGUCGUGGGUUCGGACCCACCCGGCAGG